AGAGUUUGAUCCUGGCUCAGGAUGAACGCUGGCGGCGUGCUUAACACAUGCAAGUCGAACGAAGCACCUUGAUUUGAUUCUUCGGAUGAAGAUCCUGGUGACUGAGUGGCGGACGGGUGAGUAACGCGUGGGUAACUUGCCUCAUACAGGGGGAUAACAGUUAGAAAUGAUUGCUAAUACCGCAUAAGACCACAGCACCGCAUGGUACAGGGGUAAAAACUCCGGUGGUAUGAGAUGGACCCGCGUCUGAUUAGGUAGUUGGUGGGGUAACGGCCUACCAAGCCGACGAUCAGUAGCCGACCUGAGAGGGUGACCGGCCACAUUGGGACUGAGACACGGCCCAAACUCCUACGGGAGGCAGCAGUGGGGAAUAUUGCACAAUGGGGGAAACCCUGAUGCAGCGACGCCGCGUGAGCGAUGAAGUAUUUCGGUAUGUAAAGCUCUAUCAGUAGGGAAGAAAAUGACGGUACCUGACUAAGAAGCACCGGCUAAAUACGUGCCAGCAGCCGCGGUAAUACGUAUGGUGCAAGCGUUAUCCGGAUUUACUGGGUGUAAAGGGAGCGUAGACGGAGUGGCAAGUCUGAUGUGAAAACCCGGGGCUCAACCCCGGGACUGCAUUGGAAACUGUCAAUCUGGAGUACCGGAGAGGUAAGCGGAAUUCCUAGUGUAGCGGUGAAAUGCGUAGAUAUUAGGAAGAACACCAGUGGCGAAGGCGGCUUACUGGACGGUAACUGACGUUGAGGCUCGAAAGCGUGGGGAGCAAACAAAAUUAGAUACCCUGGUAGUCCACGCCGUAAACGA
RNAcentral lists this ribosomal RNA (801 nucleotides) under uncultured bacterium. RNAcentral describes it as "bacterial SSU rRNA". It matches the Rfam family "Bacterial small subunit ribosomal RNA", at positions 8 to 809 of the family's 1533-position model. The record is from RNAcentral.